ACCAGGCUCGAGGCUCCCUGACUUGGUGCAUGCUUCACAAGUGAGCACUGGCCUGGGCUCAGAGUUGCUCUCCCUCCGCUGCUGCUGUUUCCGUCCAGUCUCCUACCUUGACCCAGCGCUCCUCUCUGAAGGCACUUGGGAAUCUGAGGAAUUUAUUAAGCGCCUGCUGUGUGCCUCGCACUAAGUGUCGCUCAGUAUACAAGAAGUUGGUAUGCCCGGCAAGACAGUACCAGCCAAGAAAACGCUUUUAGGCUUUACAGCCUGAGACCAUCAGGAACAAUCUUUCGACGAGAAACCAGUGGAAGGGAAGAGUUUAAUACCAAGGAAAUUGAAGAAGAAAGAAAAGCCUUAAUGAAGAGGAUACAUUCUCAAGACACCUUUUGCUAUCAGACACAGCUGUGCUUUCUGAAACAUAACCAUGGGCAGUUACUCUCCUUGAGUAGAUCCUGCUUUACAAGGCUUUCUACCAGAUGUCGGAAGGCAAAACUUUUGGAGGUUGAAAGAGUGAAUUGCAGAGGGCUGGACAUUUACACUUCAAUUUCUGGUACCUGGUUCAUAGAUCCCUCUAAGACCUAAUGCUAAGAAUGAGUUCCAUCUGUAGAAGCACUAAGCAAAGGUAAAACUUGGUAUUUUCUUUUUUUGUCACAUUUUUCUUAAUAGAAAUGGAAAUAGAGAUGUUAAAAAACUGAAUUUACCAAAUAGUUCUUUUUUGGGAGUUAA
Long non-coding RNA from Pteropus alecto (black flying fox), 720 nucleotides. RefSeq lists it as uncharacterized. The transcript is spliced from 5 exons. The record is from RefSeq and is a predicted model, not a curated record. NCBI's taxonomy places the organism in Eukaryota, Metazoa, Chordata, Mammalia, Chiroptera, Pteropodidae.